UACGAAGGGGGCUAGCGUUGCUCGGAAUCACUGGGCGUAAAGGGUGCGUAGGCGGGUCUUUAAGUCAGGGGUGAAAUCCUGGAGCUCAACUCCAGAACUGCCUUUGAUACUGAGGAUCUUGAGUUCGGGAGAGGUGAGUGGAACUGCGAGUGUAGAGGUGAAAUUCGUAGAUAUUCGCAAGAACACCAGUGGCGAAGGCGGCUCACUGGCCCGGUACUGGCGCUGAGGCACGAAAGCGUGGGGAGCAAACAGG
This 253-nucleotide ribosomal RNA is filed under the name uncultured bacterium. RNAcentral's name for it is "partial 16S ribosomal RNA". It matches the Rfam family "Bacterial small subunit ribosomal RNA", at positions 524 to 776 of the family's 1533-position model. The record is from RNAcentral.